This 72-nucleotide transfer RNA is filed under the name candidate division WWE3 bacterium RIFOXYA1_FULL_40_11. RNAcentral's name for it is "tRNA-Trp". It matches the Rfam family "tRNA". From Rfam's summary of the family: Transfer RNA (tRNA) molecules are approximately 80 nucleotides in length. Their secondary structure includes four short double-helical elements and three loops (D, anti-codon, and T loops). Lineage: Bacteria; candidate division WWE3. RNAcentral also lists the same sequence under 8 other names. The record is from RNAcentral.
GCCGGUGUAGUUCAGUGGCUAGAACGAUGGUCUCCAAAAUCAUUGACAGGAGUUCGAGUCUCCUCGCCGGUG